GUAAUUAAAGUCAUGCUAUUUAUAUUAAUUUGAAGGUCAAAGGUUUGCCAUGAUGGAAGAAAAGGUCGUUCUUUCAUGGAUCCUGCGGCAUUUUUGGGUAGAAUCCAACCAGAAAAGAGAAGAACUUGUUCUGGCAGGAGACCUGGUUCUUCGUCCUCUUAAUGGCAUCUGGAUCAAGUUGAAGAGGAGAAACAUAGAUGCAUCCUAACUCCAUUAUUGGCUGUGCCUCAGUAGGAAUAAGGUCUUUCUUUAAGAGAAACUUUGCAUUUACAAUGUGUAGAUCAUGAGUUUAAUACUCUUAGUCCCUACACCUAUUUUUUUCUUACCCCACUUCCCUUGGGGUCAAGUCUAUCAAAGGAAGAGUUUUUAUAUUUUCAUCACCACCAUUAUCUUACCCUUGGUCAUGAUCCCAAACGGUGAGUUAACUGAUGUCAGUACCCAAAUAAACAUAUACAUUUCUCAACAGAGGGAUCCAUAGCCCAAUUCAUUUUCAAUUGACAGACCCAAAGGAUAUAAGUUAAUUGAAGUUCCAGAAUUUUUUAAGGUAUUCUUGUUCAACACAAAUAUACAUAUACAUUUAAUUUGAAAAGGGUAAUUAAAUACUUAGGCUGGAGCUUAGGUUUUAAAAAUUAUAUCAGUGGCAUCAGUUAUGAGAAUAAUUAUGAUGAUGAUACUUUUCAGAUUUUAUCAAGGAGAGCAGAUAAUUUAUAAGUUGACUCAUAAGUUCUGUUCCUAAUUCCCUUUAAUCGUGUAUUUAUGGCCUUCAUUUCACUUCAUUCUACAUAACAUCACAAUUACCUUCUCACAUCAUAUAUUACCGGGAGAGAGUCCUCUUGGUGAUCUCCAGUCCCUCAUAAUGGCUUUUGGAGCUGGAAGCACCUUAGACCUUAUCAGGUUAUACUCCUUUUCAUUCCAAGGAGAUAAGAUCAAUCAGAGGUAAGUUUCUAUCCAAAGUCAUACCACUAGGGAGUGUCAGAGCUGGAAAUAGAUAGAGGUCUAAACUCUAAAUCUCUACUACAGUAUGCUAUGGCUUUAUGGAACUCGGGUCUAUAACUGGGUGUAUCAUUAGAACACAGAUCUUCUAGAAUUCUCCCAUCAUUAAUGAGAAGAGAAGCUGCACAUGUAUAGUAAUCCAGCACUUAGUUUAGGGUUAACCUACUGGGAAAUUCAGUCCUCCAGAACAUACUUGGACGUAUCAAGCUGAUAACUGACACAAAUUCCCUGAAUUUGAAUUCCAUCGACAAUAUACUCCUUCACUCAAUGACUUUAUAAAACUUCUUUUAAUAAAUAAUUUUAAUGAGA
Long non-coding RNA from Myotis brandtii (Brandt's bat), 1302 nucleotides. RefSeq lists it as uncharacterized. The record is from RefSeq and is a predicted model, not a curated record. Lineage: Eukaryota; Metazoa; Chordata; Mammalia; Chiroptera; Vespertilionidae. The transcript is spliced from 2 exons.